RNAcentral lists this ribosomal RNA (254 nucleotides) under uncultured bacterium. RNAcentral describes it as "partial 16S ribosomal RNA". It matches the Rfam family "Bacterial small subunit ribosomal RNA", at positions 524 to 776 of the family's 1533-position model. The record is from RNAcentral.
UACGAAGGGGGCUAGCGUUGUUCGGAAUCACUGGGCGUAAAGGGCGCGUAGGCGGCUUUAUAAGUCGGGGGUGAAAGCCUGUGGCUCAACCACAGAAUUGCCUUCGAUACUGUAUGGCUUGAGACCGGAAGAGGUAAGUGGAACUGCGAGUGUAGAGGUGAAAAUUCGUAGAUAUUCGCAAGAACACCAGUGGCGAAGGCGGCUUACUGGUCCGGUUCUGACGCUGAGGCGCGAAAGCGUGGGGAGCAAACAGG